GACGAACGCUGGCGGCGUGCUUAACACAUGCAAGUCGAGCGGUAAGGCUCCUUCGGGAGUACACGAGCGGCGAACGGGUGAGUAACACGUGAGUAAUCUGCCCUUCACUUCGGGAUAACCACCGGAAACGGUGGCUAAUACCGAAUACGACCAGUCUUCGCAUGAGGUGCUGGUGGAAAGUCUUUUCGGUGAAGGGUGUGCUCGCGGCCUAUCAGCUUGUUGGUGGGGUAAUGGCCUACCAAGGCUUCGACGGGUAGCCGGCCUGAGAGGGUGACCGGCCACACUGGGACUGAGACACGGCCGAGACUCCUACGGGAGGCAGCAGUGGGGAAUAUUGGACAAUGGGCGAAAGCCUGAUCCAGCAACGCCGCGUGAGGGAUGACGGCAUUCGGGUUGUAAACCUCUUUCAGUACCGACGAAGCGCCCUGUCGGGUGGUGACGGUAGGUACAGAAGAAGGACCGGCCAACUACGUG
RNAcentral lists this ribosomal RNA (474 nucleotides) under uncultured bacterium. Its description in RNAcentral is "partial 16S ribosomal RNA". It matches the Rfam family "Bacterial small subunit ribosomal RNA", at positions 28 to 507 of the family's 1533-position model. The record is from RNAcentral.